GCCAGUAAUAACUAUAAACCACUGGUCUUGCAUAGCAGCACUUUUUUGCUGUCUGUGCAUUUAUUUAGGGGUUAAUAUUUUUUUUUUUGUGACAGAUCACUAAAUGAAGUGAUUGUGAGAGGCCGUAUAGCGCUGAGGAGGCGUAUGCCAUCCUUGUGUUAGAGUCUGACGUGUCUAUGUUUGACUGAUUUUGACCCUGCCAGGUGC
Molecule: non-coding RNA, 207 nt
Organism: Pelobates cultripes (western spadefoot toad)
Lineage: Eukaryota; Metazoa; Chordata; Amphibia; Anura; Pelobatidae
Source: the annotation of a GenBank genome assembly